GACGAACGCUGGCGGCGUGCUUAACACAUGCAAGUCGAACGGAAAGGCCCUGCUUUUGUGGGGUGCUCGAGUGGCGAACGGGUGAGUAACACGUGAGUAACCUGCCCUUGACUUUGGGAUAACUUCAGGAGACUGGGGCUAAUACCGGAUAGGAGCUCCUGCUGCAUGGUGGGGGUUGGAAAGUUUCGGCGGUUGGGGAUGGACUCGCGGCUUAUCAGCUUGUUGGUGGGGUAGUGGCUUACCAAGGCUUUGACGGGUAGCCGGCCUGAGAGGGUGACCGGCCACAUUGGGACUGAGAUACGGCCCAGACUCCUACGGGAGGCAGCAGGGGGGAAUAUUGCACAAUGGGCGGAAGCCUGAUGCAGCAACGCCGCGGGCGGGAUGACGGCCUUCGGGUGGUAAACCGCUUUCGCCUGUGACGAAGGGUGAGUGACGGUAAUGGGUAAAGAAGCACCGGCUAAAUACGUG
This 468-nucleotide ribosomal RNA is filed under the name uncultured bacterium. RNAcentral's name for it is "partial 16S ribosomal RNA". It matches the Rfam family "Bacterial small subunit ribosomal RNA", at positions 28 to 507 of the family's 1533-position model. The record is from RNAcentral.